Molecule: non-coding RNA, 3229 nt
Organism: Vicugna pacos (alpaca)
Lineage: Eukaryota; Metazoa; Chordata; Mammalia; Artiodactyla; Camelidae
Source: RefSeq, a predicted model, not a curated record
UCCAGUGGACAGUCAUUUGUAACAACAUAUUAUUUCAUUUUUGGGAGGUUGUUUUUCUGAAAAGUUUAAUUAUACUUCAUAUUACUGAAACUAUAUACUAAUUGAAAAUAUAAAAGCUUAUUAAAAGACCCAGUUGAAAAAUCAUUCCAUUUAGAAAAUCAUGACAAUGCUAAUAUUCUUUGAACGAAUAUCAGAUUCUAAAUUACUUCAUCUGUAAUCUGUAUCCUGUGAAAACCAAAAUCCAGAAUCACUGUUUGCUUUCUAAUAGAACAUUUACCAGUUCAUUUCCAGUAUUUUAGUAAAUCUAUGAAAUUACAACAAUUAGUAGAUACUAGGAAAGAAACUGAGGGAAACCUCUCUCAGUGACCGACUAUUCGUCAAUGCUUCUUACAUUUUUUUCUGUUCUUUUGAAAAAAACGCAUGCCUCUUCCUGACUUAGCAAAUCACUCACUUGCAAAAAUAAAUUUCUUAAUAGUACAACCCGUGAUUAAAUGAGCAGACAAGAAAUAUUUUAUAUACCAAAAGCUCUAAAUGUUCUAAGAUACAUGUGAUGAGGUAAUUCUACAGGAAAAGUUACAUGUGACAUGACCCUUUAAUUCUGGAGAAGUCUAUCCCCACGAUAGAGUUUGCUCUAUAGAGAGCAGUAUUACCCAGAAGUCCUGCAUUACAUCCUUCACGUGUCGAGCUUUGAGAACUAACUCAAAGGCGCAGAAGAGACUAAGACUUUCAAAGCCUUCACCGUUGCUGGCCAGAGAGGCCCUCAUUCCAUCUGACAGGUACAAAUCAUGCUUAGAAUUUUAAAGAAUCUCUUGAAACUCUCCUCAUAAUGUUUUCUGAUGACCGACGUAGAAGCUGAACAGGGUUACAGAGAGGUUAAGACCCUUGCAGUUCACACAGCUAAUUGGUGUUUGCUGAUAAUCACUUUUUAUUUCUAUGAAAAGGAACUCGAGAACAGAUGGACUUGUGCCCUAUUUGAUCACCCUUCCCGGGAUGACUGACUCUAUCUCCUACGUCAGGAAAACUGCUGCAGAUUGCCCAGCAACACCUCUGAUCCGGGGACCUGGGAAAGAAGAACUCAGCCUGGCAGCCACUGUUUAUGGCUGGGCUGGAAGCAAUGUGACUUAGGGGCCAGGGGCCAAGAAACUUGAUGUAGAAGGAAUUUCACGUAACAGCUGAGAUGUCAUUCCCUCCCGUGAGGUCCUUUUAAUGACUGUGCAGAGACACUGCAACGCCUGACAAAGUGAGGUUUUAGAUCCUCUUGGAAUCAAACGUUGUAUAUGGUGUUAGUGUCUUCAAGUUUUGUAUAUUGGAACUUCCUUCAUUUCAGGAAUAAAUCACAAUUGGUCACAGUGUAUAAUCCUUUUAAUAUGCCGCUGGGUUCAGUUUCCUAUAUGGUCAAGUGAUUUUCCAGACGGACGCCAAGUCUGUUCAAUGGGGAGAGGACAAGUGAUGAUGGCAAAACUGGACACCCACGUGAGAAAUAGUGAAGUUGGAUUCUUUUUCUGUUUUAUGUGGUGAAAAGUCAAUAACACUGUUCUGCAACAGACCUCUAGAACUUUUUCAUCUUGCAAAACUGAAAUGAUGUCUAUUGAGAAAUUUCCCUUUUCCCUCUCCCCUGGGUCUGACAACCACGAGUCAACUUUCUGUUUCUAAGGUUUGACCACUCUAGGCACCUCGGAAUCAUGCAAUGUUUGUCUUUUUGUGACGUGCUUAUGCCACUGAGCAGAAUGUCAAGUCACCCAUACCGUAGAAUGAGAAGGAUUCCCUUCUCUGAACAUGAAUGAUGUCUCACCAUCUGUAUGUGCAGUUCAAUAUUUCUGUUUCUCCUUUCAGCCACUGGAGGACCUUUAUAUUGUCUCCAUCUCUUGGCUAUUGUGAACAGUGCUGCUGUGUUUACAUCCUGAAGUGGGAUUGCAGCGGCGUAUGCUAGUAACAUUUUACAUUUUUUGAAGAUCCUUCUUGCUGUUUUCCAUGGUGGCUGCAGUUUUACAUUCCCAACAAUGUUGCAUGAGAUUUCCAAUUUUAUUUUAUUACAUUAAGAACACUUAACCUGAGACCUACCCUCUUAACAACUGUGAAGCAUACACUGUGUUAGAGGAGUCAGUAUAUUCUGUGUGUCAACCCUGUAUCGGGUACCUGGUUUGCCAAUGCUUCCUCUCAUUAUGCACGUUGCCUCUUCGUCCUGUCGGUUCUUUCCCUGCCAGCUUGGCUAUUUUUCCUCUGUUGCCUGUGCCUUUAGUGUCACAUCCAAGAAACCAUAGCCAAAUCCAACACCAUGAAGUUUUUCCCCUAUGUUUUCUUCUAGGAGUUUUAUAAGUUUCAGGUCUUACAUUUAGGCCUUUAAUCCAUUUUGAAUUAAUUUUUUUAUAUGGAGUAAGAUGAGGGUCCAACUUCUUUUUUUCAUACGUGGAUAUCCAAUUUUUCUAACACCAUUUGUUGAAGAGGCUGUUAAAAGGUAAAGUGAGGCAUGUUAAAAUUUUUAAGAGUUUAUUUGAGCAAAAAGCAAUUCAAAUUGGGAAGCAUCCAAUCUGGCACAUAGAAAGGGGCUUCAAGAAACUGCACAAAAUGAAAGACUUUUACAGGCAGAAGGCAGCUGGAACAAGGACAUUACACCAGACAGACUGCACAGGAGCACGUGGGUUCUUUGCAAAGUCACUUUCCUACAGCGGAUGGCUGGGGUCUGUGAGGUAGAUGACUUAACUAGUAAGUAAUCUAGGGAAUGCAGGUGCUUCUGACUGACAAGUAUAAGAUUCCAUUUCCAGGAGCUCUGGAACUGUAAUUACGUCUCAGUUUUGUGACCUGGGGCUUAGCAUAAGCAACUGCAUUUGAACCUUUGCACCCUACACUUGAGGUUCUUUUCUGGGUCCCCUAUUGGCUCCACUGGUCUGCACUGCUGUCUUUAUGGCAGGACCACACUGUUUCCAUGACUGGGGCAUUGUGGUAUGUUUCAAAGUCAGGAAGUGUGAGUCCUCUGCUUUGUUUUUCUUUUAAAGUUAGAGUUUCAUCUUACAUCAUAUAUAGAAAUUAACUUAUAUGGAUCAAAACCCUCCCCUGAAGUGCUAAAACUAUAAAACCCUUAGAAUAAAACUUGAGGGGAUAGCUUCUUGACAUUGGCUUUGGCAAUGAUUUUUUAGAUAUGAUACCAGAACCAUAGGCAACGGAAGCAAAAAUAAAUAAUAGCACUACAUCAAAAUUUAAAACUACUUGGGGGAGGGUAUAGCUCAAGUGG